GUAACCCAUGAAAUGUUUUCUAGUGUGUUAGACUCAGAUCUUAGGCACCUGGCUAAACUAACCUGCAGCAGAGAAUCGUGACAGAGCAGCAUCUUAAGCUAGCAAAAUCCCUUUUCUUGUGGCUGAACUAAAAGGACGCUGGCUCAGCUACAAGAUCUUGGAGAAGGAGUCCGAGAGGGCAAGAGUUAACAUCCCUCUGCCCUUAAGGAGAGUCCAUAUGCAGAUGUUCAACAGUUUAAUAAAUUGUUCUGUGCACACUUAUGUUUACCAAGAUGUGAACAUGAGCCCAAAUACUUUCAUGUGGCAAGCGAGGGAGCAAUAGGUAUUAUUCUUCUUCUUUUUUUGUUGAAACUUAAGAACAUUGCUACUAGCAAUAUGGGACACGGGUGGCGCUGUGGUCUAAACCACAGAGCCUAGGGAUUGCCGAUCAGAAGGUCAGCAGAUUUGAAUCCCCACUACGGGGUGAGCUCCUUUUGCUCGGUCCCAGCUGCUGCCAACUUAGCAGUUAGAAAGCACGUCAAAGUGCAAAUAGAUAAAUAGGUACCGCUCCAGCGGGAAGGUAAACAGCAUUUCCGUGCGCUGCUCUGGCUUGCCAGAAGCGGCUUAGUCAUGCUGGCCACAUGACCCGGAAGCUGUACACUGGCUCCCUUGGCCAGUAAAGCGAGAUGAGCGCUGCAACCCCAGAGUCGUCCGCAACUGGACCUAACGGUCAGGGGUCCCUUUACCCUUUACCUUUACUAGCAAUAUAUCACAGCUUGUAUAGCCUACAUAGAGUAGGUGUAUUUAAAAUGAGAGUUGUCAUAGCAAUCUUAGUUAAAAGUAGAAGUUGGCCAAUGUGUCUUCUUAUUUGCUCUUCAAAAUAUGGCAACCCCACACUUGCCUAUCAUGACUGUCUGGUAACCUUUUGAGUUAUCCCCCUCUUCCCCAGGGAACUAAUCUUACGGUAUAUAUUAAAUCCAAAAGAGAAGCGUGGAAUAAGGAGUCCUUUGUAAAAUUGCCCUGCCAUCUGCCUCCUCUUCCCUGGCGGCAAGCCCUAGACUUCAAGAUGGUUGGGAGGAAGGCAAGGAGAGACCAAGUGGGUGAGAGAGAUGGAGAGCAGGAAUAAACAGGCUCCCCACUUAAUGCGAUUUUCACUUGUGGGCACGAGGGCCCAGAACGUUACCCCCACGAAAGUGAGGGAGGCCUAUAUGUGUUUUUAUGUUGUAGUUUUAUGCUGUGAACCACCCUGAGACCUGUAGAUGAAGGGCAGUAGGCAAAUAUAAUUCGUUUUUGCUGUUGUUGUUAGAAGAGGGGGGUCCUCCUCCCCCACCCCAACCAGAUGUCCCCAAAGGCCAAUUCCCACAGAGAUUGUCAGAGGAAAGCAGCUUCUCUCUUCUCCUCCAGUUCUCCUCUCUUCCCCCUUACAUAGCACAGAAGAGCUGAGUAAAAGGUUUACUGGGUGGUUUUUCCCCUUAGAAAAUGUCUGGGUUUAGAGAAGGGCAGGAACAAUAUACAUUGAAUAUAAGAAAGUAAAGGAAAUUGAUUUAAAAACCAUAAAGGAGGAUAUUUAUUCUGAUGAGAGUCAGGGGUCUCAGUCUAGCAUGCGAUGC
This 1589-nucleotide long non-coding RNA is filed under the name Podarcis lilfordi (Lilford's wall lizard). The record is from RNAcentral. Lineage: Eukaryota; Metazoa; Chordata; Lepidosauria; Squamata; Lacertidae.